RNAcentral lists this long non-coding RNA (338 nucleotides) under Androctonus crassicauda. Lineage: Eukaryota; Metazoa; Arthropoda; Arachnida; Scorpiones; Buthidae. The record is from RNAcentral.
AUGCUGUCCUUUAUAGGUUUGGAGUUUGCUAUAGUGGGAACUGGUAUGAGCACUCAGUCCACGGCUUGUCAUGUGAACAUUACAAAAUCAGUGUUCUCGACUUUUAACAUGGCAAGCCAUGUUAAAUUACAAUUCAAGAACACUGAUUUUGGUUUAGCAUGUUUUCUAGUUAUACAAAUGUCACAACUUAACACCAAAAAAUUCUCAUCUGCAACAUAGAAGAUUAUAAUAAUACACUUUGUUUUUUUCUUUGAAUCCAAAAAUUUACAAUUUUAAAGAAGUUGCAGGCAAAGCUAUUAAAUUUUUAAUGGUAUUUGCACCAUCUGUGUGAAAAGGGC